CAAUAGCGUAUAUUAAAGUUGUUGCGGUUAAAAAGCUCGUAGUUGGAUUUCUGUUGAGGACGACCGGUCCGCACUAUGUGCGUGUAUCUGGUUCGGCCUUGGCAUCCUUCUGGGGAACGGUGCUGCGCUUGAUUGCGUGGUCCGGUAUUCAGAACUUUUACUUUGAGGAAAUUAGAGUGUUUACGGCAGGCAAUCGCCUUGAAUAUAUUAGCAUGGAAUAAUACUAUAGGACCUUGGUUCUAUUUUGUUGGUUUCUAGAACUAAGGUAAUGAUUAAUAGGGAUAAUUGGGGGCAUUCGUAUUAACACGUCAGAGGUGAAAUUCUUGGAUUGUGUUACGACGAACUACUGCGAAAGCAUUUGCCAAGGAUGUUUUCAUUGA
Molecule: ribosomal RNA, 380 nt
Filed under: uncultured eukaryote
Lineage: Eukaryota
Description: partial 18S ribosomal RNA
Rfam family: Eukaryotic small subunit ribosomal RNA
Source: RNAcentral